RNAcentral lists this long non-coding RNA (2250 nucleotides) under Equus asinus (donkey). Its description in RNAcentral is "lncRNA (ENSEASG00005023596.1)". Lineage: Eukaryota; Metazoa; Chordata; Mammalia; Perissodactyla; Equidae. The record is from RNAcentral.
AGGGGGGGCGCCUACAAUCUUGUGAUAUUUAUUUCCAGGCACUCAAGCAGAUUGUCACAGUAAAUAUCAGAGAAAAAUCCCCCUGUGCUCCCAGCAGGAGGAGGGGUAAAGGAGCCAUUUUCCAGGAGCCAGAGCACUCUCUGCUUCUUAACAAGCCCUGCCUUCAGGGGAAACUAGUUAACCAGAGCUUGACCUGCUGGGGUAUUAUCAGAGGCUAACUGACCCUAUGAGAAGGGAAGUACCUAACUCCAGCCCACUGUAGGUACCCUCUUCUACCUAAGGGGGAAGAAAAAACCCAAAAAACACUUGUGAAGUUCACAUUCCAGAGGCAUAGGCUCACAAAAACACUGAGACCUAAUCAUAGGACUAUAGAACGCUUACUCUCCUCACCUCACCACCACAUUACAGAAGGUCUAUUUACAGCAGUUCCUUUGGCCCAGUACAUCAUGUCCGACUAUCAAGAAGAAAUUACAAGGCAUAACCAAAGGCAAAAAUCACAAUUUGAAGAGACAGAGCAAGCAUCAGAACCAGAUAUGGCAGGGAUAUUGGAAUUAUCAGACCAUAAAUUUAAAACAACUAUGAUUAAUAUACUAAGGACUCUAGUGGGUAAAGUAGACAGCAUGCAAGAAAACAGAUGGACAGUGUAAGCAGAGAGGUGGAAAUCCUAAGUGAAAACCAAAAAGAAAUGCUACAGAUCGAAAACACUGUAACACAAAAGGAGAAUGCCUGUGAUGGGCUCAUUAGUAGACCAGACACAGCUGAGGAGAGACUCUGUGCUUGACGCUCUCUCGGUAGAAACUUCCAAAACCUUAUCUGUAGAAGAACAAAGAUAAGAAUUACAUCUGACUUCUCAGAAACCAUGCAAGCAAGAAGAGGAGUAAAAUAUUGAAAGUGUUGAGAGAAAAUAACCACCAACCUAGGAUUCUGUAACCUGAGAAAUCAUCCUUCAAAAGUGAAUGAGAAAUUACGACCUUCUCAGACAAAACAAUUGAGGGAAUUAGUUGCCAGUAGAUCUACCUUGCAAGAAAUGUUGAAAGAAGUUCUUUACAGAGAAGGAAUGUAAUAUAGGGCAUAAACUUGGAUCUACAUAAAAAAGGGAAGAAAAUUGAAGAAGGAAUAAAUGAAGGUAAAUACCAAGAAGUAGAAUUGCUAGAUAAUAUGGUGAGCCAUAAAUAGAUAUUUGAAAAGCUGCAAUUGUGGAUGGGCUUCUGCUCCUGCUGGACUCACUCUCAUUCCGAUUCCAUCAGAAAUGGUGAAGAUCAAUGCGGAGUGAUGCUGCUAAAGGAGCCCAGGCUGCUACUUGUAAGUAUUCUCGAGAAGACAGAAGAAAGGAAGUCCUUCUGCAAUCAACUCGUCAGGCUGAAUGUGAGAAAGAAGCCGGGUCAAGGUCAAUGGCUUCUUACCAGAGAUACUGAAGGGGAUCACAGCCUGUUUAUCAUCUCCUAAGAGUUUAAAAUCCUAGGAAUGAUUUUGCCAGUGAGCUGGCAGAGAAUAUGAAGUAGCUUCACCAAAUAUAAUGUUCACCGAACAAAUAUCCUUGAGUUUUUUCGGAGCGCCUGUGUCUGUGGAAAGCUAUCAUUUAAUCUCAGAGUCCUUCAAGGAAGGUCUGCACUCCUGAGGCCUGGCCCCAUAUGCCUGUAGUUUCUUUGAUGACUGAGGUCACCUGAUUCCUGGAAACUCUCCGGGGAUUGCAGAAUUGGUAUGAGCUUCAUUGUUUAUUCCUUUUUGCUGAAUGCUGCAAAGGCUUUUCUUUUCAUGUUUACAGAAGAUCCUUUGCAGUCGGGAAUGUUGAAAGGUGGCCAGGCUAUCUCACCUCUUGCCUCCCAACCCCAGUGGGAAGAGAAUUUGGAUUUACUGCAAAUGAAAUAGUGAGGAAAAAAAAUAAGUGCUCCCUGAAGAAGUCUGUGCCUGUAAGCAAGGUAUCCAGAAUACCCCAAUAUGUGCAUAAUACAAGGGACUAGUCUAAAAGAGGAGUUCAAGUCAUGCCAGUGUGAAAAAAUCUAAUUCUCCCUGUUUACCUGUUUGUCAGUGUUGACACACAAUUUCCUGAGUUGUAUCCAAAUGUCUCUGGGCAAAAUAGACACGUGCCAUUUCUUUCCUUCUUUUUUUGAUUUUGCUUUUUGUGUAGUUAAAUGUAGUUUCCUUUAAAUGGUUUUUAUUAUGAGAUUUGUGAGUGUGCAUGUUUAGUUUUUAAAACACUCUCCCCUAUGAAUCUAGUGAGGAUUUAAAACUGUCGACAUUCUUUUUUUG